This 540-nucleotide ribosomal RNA is filed under the name uncultured bacterium. RNAcentral describes it as "bacterial SSU rRNA". It matches the Rfam family "Bacterial small subunit ribosomal RNA", at positions 129 to 654 of the family's 1533-position model. The record is from RNAcentral.
CCCCUAAGUCUGGGAUACCAUUUGGAAACAGGUGCUAAUACCGGAUAAUAAAGCAGAUCGCAUGAUCAGCUUUUGAAAGGCGGCGUAAGCUGUCGCUAAGGGAUGGCCCCGCGGUGCAUUAGCUAGUUGGUAAGGUAACGGCUUACCAAGGCGACGAUGCAUAGCCGAGUUGAGAGACUGAUCGGCCACAUUGGGACUGAGACACGGCCCAAACUCCUACGGGAGGCAGCAGUAGGGAAUCUUCCACAAUGGACGCAAGUCUGAUGGAGCAACGCCGCGUGAGUGAAGAAGGUUUUCGGAUCGUAAAGCUCUGUUGUUGGUGAAGAAGGAUAGAGGUAGUAACUGGCCUUUAUUUGACGGUAAUCAACCAGAAAGUCACGGCUAACUACGUGCCAGCAGCCGCGGUAAUACGUAGGUGGCAAGCGUUGUCCGGAUUUAUUGGGCGUAAAGCGAGCGCAGGCGGAAAAAUAAGUCUAAUGUGAAAGCCCUCGGCUUAACCGAGGAAACUGCAUCGGAAACUGUUUUUCUUGAGUGCAGAAG